CCUCGAUAACCACUUCAGCGGUGCCAUGAACGGCAGCAACCGCCUCUUCUCGGCACACGCAGACCACAUGGCCGUCUUCCUCUCUGGCCUCUUCCACACCAACAGGUUCAGACCCUAUCCCUCUCCCUCUGCAUCUUUGUUUAAAUAUGGUAAGCAUUUCUUCAGAGUAUAACUCUGUUGACUUAGGUUCCUUCUGUAUUGGCCUGUGCAAAAUAGGGUGAAUGAAAUCAGAGUAUUGACCUGUAUUGCAUUUGUAGCUCAGGUCAACUAGGAGAUGAUGCAAGCCAAGGCGUUCACACUGAUUUAAUAUGGUACGUGCUGAACUUCCUUUGGUUUAUGAGACGAAAAGGAUGUUAUAUAUGCAUGCUACUACAGUUUAGGCAUUGAUGUUAUUUGAGCAUCUUUGGUCCUGAUGCCAUAUUUAUUGCAGUUACGAAAUUAUUAACAUUGUUUUUCAUUUUUUAUUUGUUGAUCUAAUUUAUUGAGACCAAAAUGAGAAACCAUCAUUUUAUUUUCAUUUCACGUUUGGAUGAUCAAGUGAAGACAAAUGAAUACACUGAUGGAAGGCCAUGUCAAAGAACUUUCUAUUUUGUAUUUUGUUUUUAUUCAGGAUCUACUAUAAUUUACCAGCAAGUGUUUAUUCCUGAAAUUGAUCGUAUGUGAUAUCUGAAAUGAAACAACACAAGGCCUUGUCUCUCUUUGUAUUUUGAGGUAAUGUCGACGAACCUCAUGUGAAAAAAAUAUAAUAAAAGGCAUUUCUCAGUUUUCUACAUGUGCCAUAGUACCGAGGUCUUUGAACAGGCACUUUGUGGUGGAAUGUCAAACAGAGGGCUGUUUGAUAGAAUAUGUGUUGUGUCAGAUACUGCAACAGGCAUACACAAAAUCACUUUGCUAUAUAUUUACAUAUACUACCUUUUUCUGGAUAUACUAUAACUAUUUGUUCUCUUUUGUAGUUUGCUCUAUGUUUGGUCAUAUUGUUCCUGGCGGUCCUGGAAGUAUCUUCAAGUUUUAAUAGAGGCAAUCCAUGGUCCUGAGAUCGACAAAGUUUGUGGUAAUGUUUCUUUUAGCUAUUACACUUGAGAAAAAUGUUUGGUGUUUUCAUGGAUCAUGACAAAACUGGUGUGCGCACAGGCAUCCUUCUUCCUUAUGUAUUGCGUCUAAUUGCCUCUGGUCAUAAAUAGCAAGACACUGAUGGAGGAGCCAUCCAGCUCAUGCUGCGAUUGUUCCAGCUUUCCGUACUAAGAAAUCACUGACUGCCAGGAAACGGAAGUGGACUGUGUGCCAGAGGUAUGAUCUAGCAAUUUCUCAUGUGGUUUCCUCUUUGCAGUGUGCUACUUCUUGUUUUCCGAUGUUGUGCACGUUCCAGUUUAGAGCUCAUGUACAUCCACUCUUUAUUUCUUAAUUAAGUUAGUGAUGCACACUCUACAAAUGAGAUCCUCUUCUGUUAUGAAGAAUUGUUAUGGGUCUCCGCUUCUUCAAGAGGCUAAUUGUUUUGAUAUAUCCAUAUGUAAUUACAUUUUGGAUUGUCAAAGUGCAAUGUGUAAAGUAUAGAAGGACCAUCUACAAACAUUAAAAAAUUGCAAUGUUUUGAUCUUGAGAAGAGCAUGC
This 1608-nucleotide long non-coding RNA is filed under the name Triticum aestivum (bread wheat). RNAcentral's name for it is "long non-coding RNA (TAES_LNC003254)". The record is from RNAcentral. Lineage: Eukaryota; Viridiplantae; Streptophyta; Magnoliopsida; Poales; Poaceae.